Molecule: unclassified non-coding RNA, 178 nt
Filed under: uncultured fungus
Lineage: Eukaryota; Fungi
Description: sequence contains ITS1, 5.8S rRNA gene
Source: RNAcentral
CCGAGUUCUACCGACUCCCAAAACCCUUCUGUGAACCUACCUCUCGUUGCUUCGGCGGAUCGCCCCGGUGACGUCCCCUCCCAGGGGCCCGUCUCGGAUCAGCGCGGCCGCCGAAGGACCUUGAAACUCUCUGUCUUGAUUUCUGUUUCCUUCUGAGUGGCACAAGCAAAAUGAAUCA